UUAAGCGACUAAGCGUACACGGUGGAUGCCCUGGCAGUCAGAGGCGAUGAAGGACGUGCUAAUCUGCGAUAAGCGUCGGUAAGGUGAUAUGAACCGUUAUAACCGGCGAUUUCCGAAUGGGGAAACCCAGUGUGUUUCGACACACUAUCAUUAACUGAAUCCAUAGGUUAAUGAGGCGAACCGGGGGAACUGAAACAUCUAAGUACCCCGAGGAAAAGAAAUCAACCGAGAUUCCCCCAGUAGCGGCGAGCGAACGGGGAGCAGCCCAGAGCCUGAAUCAGUGUGUGUGUUAGUGGAAGCGUCUGGAAAGGCGCGCGAUACAGGGUGACAGCCCCGUACACAAAAAUGCACAUGCUGUGAGCUCGAUGAGUAGGGCGGGACACGUGGUAUCCUGUCUGAAUAUGGGGGGACCAUCCUCCAAGGCUAAAUACUCCUGACUGACCGAUAGUGAACCAGUACCGUGAGGGAAAGGCGAAAAGAACCCCGGCGAGGGGAGUGAAAAAGAACCUGAAACCGUGUACGUACAAGCAGUGGGAGCACGCUUAGGCGUGUGACUGCGUACCUUUUGUAUAAUGGGUCAGCGACUUAUAUUCUGUAGCAAGGUUAACCGAAUAGGGGAGCCGAAGGGAAACCGAGUCUUAACUGGGCGUUAAGUUGCAGGGUAUAGACCCGAAACCCGGUGAUCUAGCCAUGGGCAGGUUGAAGGUUGGGUAACACUAACUGGAGGACCGAACCGACUAAUGUUGAAAAAUUAGCGGAUGACUUGUGGCUGGGGGUGAAAGGCCAAUCAAACCGGGAGAUAGCUGGUUCUCCCGAAAGCUAUUUAGGUAGCGCCUCGUGAAUUCAUCUCCGGGGGUAGAGCACUGUUUCGGCAAGGGGGUCAUCCCGACUUACCAACCCGAUGCAAACUGCGAAUACCGGAGAUGUUAUCACGGGAGACACACGGCGGGUGCUAACGUCCGUCGUGAAGAGGGAAACAACCCAGACCGCCAGCUAAGGUCCCAAAGUCAUGGUUAAGUGGGAAACGAUGUGGGAAGGCCCAGACAGCCAGGAUGUUGGCUUAGAAGCAGCCAUCAUUUAAAGAAAGCGUAAUAGCUCACUGGUCGAGUCGGCCUGCGCGGAAGAUGUAACGGGGCUAAACCAUGCACCGAAGCUGCGGCAGCGACGCUGAUGCGUUGUUGGGUAGGGGAGCGUUCUGUAAGCCUGCGAAGGUGUGCUGUGAGGCAUGCUGGAGGUAUCAGAAGUGCGAAUGCUGACAUAAGUAACGAUAAAGCGGGUGAAAAGCCCGCUCGCCGGAAGACCAAGGGUUCCUGUCCAACGUUAAUCGGGGCAGGGUGAGUCGACCCCUAAGGCGAGGCCGAAAGGCGUAGUCGAUGGGAAACAGGUUAAUAUUCCUGUACUUGGUGUUACUGCGAAGGGGGGACGGAGAAGGCUAUGUUGGCCGGGCGACGGUUGUCCCGGUUUAAGCGUGUAGGCUGGUUUUCCAGGCAAAUCCGGAAAAUCAAGGCUGAGGCGUGAUGACGAGGCACUACGGUGCUGAAGCAACAAAUGCCCUGCUUCCAGGAAAAGCCUCUAAGCAUCAGGUAACAUCAAAUCGUACCCCAAACCGACACAGGUGGUCAGGUAGAGAAUACCAAGGCGCUUGAGAGAACUCGGGUGAAGGAACUAGGCAAAAUGGUGCCGUAACUUCGGGAGAAGGCACGCUGAUAUGUAGGUGAAGUCCCUUGCGGAUGGAGCUGAAAUCAGUCGAAGAUACCAGCUGGCUGCAACUGUUUAUUAAAAACACAGCACUGUGCAAACACGAAAGUGGACGUAUACGGUGUGACGCCUGCCCGGUGCCGGAAGGUUAAUUGAUGGGGUCAGCGCAAGCGAAGCUCUUGAUCGAAGCCCCGGUAAACGGCGGCCGUAACUAUAACGGUCCUAAGGUAGCGAAAUUCCUUGUCGGGUAAGUUCCGACCUGCACGAAUGGCGUAAUGAUGGCCAGGCUGUCUCCACCCGAGACUCAGUGAAAUUGAACUCGCUGUGAAGAUGCAGUGUACCCGCGGCAAGACGGAAAGACCCCGUGAACCUUUACUAUAGCUUGACACUGAACAUUGAGCCUUGAUGUGUAGGAUAGGUGGGAGGCUUUGAAGUGUGGACGCCAGUCUGCAUGGAGCCGACCUUGAAAUACCACCCUUUAAUGUUUGAUGUUCUAACGUGGACCCGUGAUCCGGGUUGCGGACAGUGUCUGGUGGGUAGUUUGACUGGGGCGGUCUCCUCCUAAAGAGUAACGGAGGAGCACGAAGGUUGGCUAAUCCUGGUCGGACAUCAGGAGGUUAGUGCAAUGGCAUAAGCCAGCUUGACUGCGAGCGUGACGGCGCGAGCAGGUGCGAAAGCAGGUCAUAGUGAUCCGGUGGUUCUGAAUGGAAGGGCCAUCGCUCAACGGAUAAAAGGUACUCCGGGGAUAACAGGCUGAUACCGCCCAAGAGUUCAUAUCGACGGCGGUGUUUGGCACCUCGAUGUCGGCUCAUCACAUCCUGGGGCUGAAGUAGGUCCCAAGGGUAUGGCUGUUCGCCAUUUAAAGUGGUACGCGAGCUGGGUUUAGAACGUCGUGAGACAGUUCGGUCCCUAUCUGCCGUGGGCGCUGGAGAACUGAGGGGGGCUGCUCCUAGUACGAGAGGACCGGAGUGGACGCAUCACUGGUGUUCGGGUUGUCAUGCCAAUGGCACUGCCCGGUAGCUAAAUGCGGAAGAGAUAAGUGCUGAAAGCAUCUAAGCACGAAACUUGCCCCGAGAUGAGUUCUCCCUGACUCCUUGAGAGUCCUGAAGGAACGUUGAAGACGACGACGUUGAUAGGCCGGGUGUGUAAGCGCAGCGAUGCGUUGAGCUAACCGGUACUAAUGAACCGUGAGGCUUAACCUU
Molecule: ribosomal RNA, 2900 nt
Filed under: Escherichia coli
Lineage: Bacteria; Pseudomonadati; Pseudomonadota; Gammaproteobacteria; Enterobacterales; Enterobacteriaceae
Description: bacterial LSU rRNA
Rfam family: Bacterial large subunit ribosomal RNA
Source: RNAcentral